RNAcentral lists this ribosomal RNA (253 nucleotides) under uncultured bacterium. Its description in RNAcentral is "partial 16S ribosomal RNA". It matches the Rfam family "Bacterial small subunit ribosomal RNA", at positions 524 to 776 of the family's 1533-position model. The record is from RNAcentral.
UACGUAGGGUGCGAGCGUUAAUCGGAAUUACUGGGCGUAAAGCGUGCGCAGGCGGUCCGCAAAGUCUGAUGUGAAAUCCCCGGGCUCAACCUGGGAACUGCAUUUGUGACUGCAUCGCUGGAGUACGGCAGAGGGGGAUGGAAUUCCGCGUGUAGCAGUGAAAUGCGUAGAUAUGCGGAGGAACACCGAUGGCGAAGGCAAUCCCCUGGGCCUGUACUGACGCUCAUGCACGAAAGCGUGGGGAGCAAACAGG